AAUAGAUACCCAGGUAGUCCACGCCGUAAACGAUGAGUGCUAGGUGUUAGGGGUUUCAAUACCCUUAGUGCCGCAGCUAACGCAAUAAGCACUCCGCCUGGGGAGUACGGUCGCAAGACUGAAACUCAAAGGAAUUGACGGGGGCCCGCACAAGCGGUGGAGCAUGUGGUUUAAUUCGAAGCAACGCGAAGAACCUUACCAGGUCUUGACAUCCCGCUGACCGCUCUGGAGACAGAGCUUCCCUUCGGGGCAGCGGUGACAGGUGGUGCAUGGUUGUCGUCAGCUCGUGUCGUGAGAUGUUGGGUUAAGUCCCGCAACGAGCGCAACCCUUAUCUUUAGUUGCCAGCAUUCAGUUGGGCACUCUAGAGAGACUGCCGUCGACAAGACGGAGGAAGGCGGGGAUGACGUCAAAUCAUCAUGCCCCUUAUGACCUGGGCUACACACGUGCUACAAUGGUUGGUACAACGGGAUGCUACCUCGCGAGAGGAUGCCAAUCUACUUAAAACCAAUCUCAGUUCGGAUUGGU
RNAcentral lists this ribosomal RNA (526 nucleotides) under uncultured bacterium. RNAcentral describes it as "bacterial SSU rRNA". It matches the Rfam family "Bacterial small subunit ribosomal RNA", at positions 777 to 1302 of the family's 1533-position model. The record is from RNAcentral.